RNAcentral lists this non-coding RNA (30 nucleotides) under Rattus norvegicus (Norway rat). Lineage: Eukaryota; Metazoa; Chordata; Mammalia; Rodentia; Muridae. The record is from RNAcentral.
UGUUAGAGCCAGCUUUGGACACAUCCAUGG